UGCCAGCAGCCGCGGUAAUACGGAGGGGGCUAGCGUUGUUCGGAAUUACUGGGCGUAAAGCGCACGUAGGCGGACUGAUAAGUUGGGGGUGAAAUCCCAAGGCUCAACCUUGGAACUGCCCUCAAAACUGCCAGUCUUGAGUCCGGAAGAGGUGAGUGGAAUUCCUAGUGUAGAGGUGAAAUUCGUAGAUAUUAGGAAGAACACCAGUGGCGAAGGCGACUCACUGGCGCAUUUCUGACGCUGAGGCGCGAAAGCGUGGGGAGCAAACAGGAUUAGAUA
RNAcentral lists this ribosomal RNA (279 nucleotides) under uncultured bacterium. RNAcentral describes it as "partial 16S ribosomal RNA". It matches the Rfam family "Bacterial small subunit ribosomal RNA", at positions 506 to 784 of the family's 1533-position model. The record is from RNAcentral.